CGGACGGGUGAGUAAUGUCUGGGAAACUGCCCGAUGGAGGGGGAUAACUACUGGAAACGGUAGCUAAUACCGCAUAACGUCGCAAGACCAAAGAGGGGGACCUUCGGGCCUCUUGCCAUCGGAUGUGCCCAGAUGGGAUUAGCUAGUAGGUGGGGUAGCGGCUCACCUAGGCGACGAUCCCUAGCUGGUCUGAGAGGAUGACCAGCCACACUGGAACUGAGGCACGGUCCAG
This 232-nucleotide ribosomal RNA is filed under the name uncultured bacterium. RNAcentral's name for it is "partial 16S ribosomal RNA". It matches the Rfam family "Bacterial small subunit ribosomal RNA", at positions 99 to 334 of the family's 1533-position model. The record is from RNAcentral.